Long non-coding RNA from Passer domesticus (house sparrow), 280 nucleotides. RefSeq lists it as uncharacterized. Lineage: Eukaryota; Metazoa; Chordata; Aves; Passeriformes; Passeridae. The record is from RefSeq and is a predicted model, not a curated record. The transcript has 3 exons.
GCUCGCUGCUCGCUCCGCUCUCGUCUCACACACUGGGGACAAAACGCAGCUUGGAGCUGAAAGAGGAGCCCAGAACACAUCCCUGCAGCCUCUGAGAUCCUCCUCACCUUCUGCCUGGCUCAUUUACUGCAAUUAAAUGCUUGUAAACAGAUUAUACCCUGAAAGCUACAUUUUCCUGCUGGGGAGGAAGCAAACUGCUCCACUGAGCAGUGGGCAGCGAGGAUAAGGAAGGAGGAACAAAUCCACCCCAAAGCCAGCAGGACGUGGGCAGCACGAGGAG